RNAcentral lists this ribosomal RNA (474 nucleotides) under uncultured organism. RNAcentral's name for it is "partial 16S ribosomal RNA". It matches the Rfam family "Bacterial small subunit ribosomal RNA", at positions 332 to 797 of the family's 1533-position model. The record is from RNAcentral.
UACACUCCUGCGGGAGGCAGCAGUGGGGAAUUUUGGACAAUGGGCGAAAGCCUGAUCCAGCAAUGCCGCGUGAGUGAAGAAGGCCUUCGGGUUGUAAAGCUCUUUUGUCAGGGAAGAAACGGUGAGAGCUAAUAUCUCUUGCUAAUGACGGUACCUGAAGAAUAAGCACCGGCUAACUACGUGCCAGCAGCCGCGGUAAUACGUAGGGUGCAAGCGUUAAUCGGAAUUACUGGGCGUAAAGCGUGCGCAGGCGGUUUUGUAAGUCUGAUGUGAAAUCCCCGGGCUCAACCUGGGAAUUGCAUUGGAGACUGCAAGGCUAGAAUCUGGCAGAGGGGGGUAGAAUUCCACGUGUAGCAGUGAAAUGCGUAGAUAUGUGGAGGAACACCGAUGGCGAAGGCAGCCCCCUGGGUCAAGAUUGACGCUCAUGCACGAAAGCGUGGGGAGCAAACAGGAUUAGAAACCCGGGUAGUCCCA